GAUGAAGAACGUAGCGAAAUGCGAUAAGUAAUGUGAAUUGCAGAAUUCAGUGAAUCAUCGAAUCUUUGAACGCACAUUGCGCCCGCCAGUAUUCUGGCGGGCAUGCCUGUUCGAGCGUCAUUUCAACCAUCAAGCCCCCGGGCUUGUGUUGGGGACCUGCGGCUGCCGCAGGCCCUGAAAAGCAGUGGCGGGCUCGCUGUCACACCGAGCGUAGUAGCAUACAUCUCGCUCUGGGCGUGAUGCGGGUUCCGGCCGUUAAACCACCUUUUAACCCAAGGUUGACCUCGGAUCAGGUAGGAAGACCCGCUGAACUUAAGCAUAUCAAUAAGCGGAGGA
Molecule: unclassified non-coding RNA, 336 nt
Filed under: soil metagenome
Description: partial contains 5.8S ribosomal RNA, internal transcribed spacer 2, and large subunit ribosomal RNA
Rfam family: 5.8S ribosomal RNA (bases 1-120)
Source: RNAcentral